Molecule: long non-coding RNA, 256 nt
Organism: Nematolebias whitei (Rio pearlfish)
Lineage: Eukaryota; Metazoa; Chordata; Actinopteri; Cyprinodontiformes; Rivulidae
Exons: 3
Source: RefSeq, a predicted model, not a curated record
GGAAGUCCAUACACAACUUGGGGACCAUCGUUACGACCAGCGCUGUGGCAAGUCAGAGUGAAGCCAUGGGCCAUGGUCUGGAGCAGUGCAUUGUGGGACACCCUGCCUCAGUUACCAUAGUAACGAGAGACAAGUCAGGGGGAGCCUGCAAAAGUGGCAAUGCAAUACUUUCAGCUGAGGUGUUCACCCCUGACGGAAGCAUUGUCGAUGGUGAAAUAGUGGACCACAAGAAUGGAACCUAUGAGUUUGUGUACAC